UAAUUGGAGAGUUUGAUCCUGGCUCAGGACGAACGCUGGCGGCGUGCCUAAUACAUGCAAGUCGAGCGGAGUUAUUUUGAAAGCUUGCUUUCAAAAUAACUUAGCGGCGGACGGGUGAGUAACACGUAGGCAACCUGCCCCUUAGACUGGGAUAACUACCGGAAACGGUAGCUAAUACCGGAUAAUUUCUUUCUUCUCCUGAAGAAAGAAUGAAAGACGGAGCAAUCUGUCACUGAGGGAUGGGCCUGCGGCGCAUUAGCUAGUUGGUGGGGUAACGGCCCACCAAGGCGACGAUGCGUAGCCGACCUGAGAGGGUGAACGGCCACACUGGGACUGAGACACGGCCCAGACUCCUACGGGAGGCAGCAGUAGGGAAUCUUCCGCAAUGGACGAAAGUCUGACGGAGCAACGCCGCGUGAGUGAUGAAGGUUUUCGGAUCGUAAAGCUCUGUUGCCAGGGAAGAACGUCCGGUAGAGUAACUGCUACCGGAGUGACGGUACCUGAGAAGAAAGCCCCGGCUAACUACGUGCCAGCAGCCGCGGUAAUACGUAGGGGGCAAGCGUUGUCCGGAAUUAUUGGGC
This 581-nucleotide ribosomal RNA is filed under the name Paenibacillus sp. PastF-3. RNAcentral describes it as "bacterial SSU rRNA". It matches the Rfam family "Bacterial small subunit ribosomal RNA", at positions 1 to 559 of the family's 1533-position model. The record is from RNAcentral. Lineage: Bacteria; Bacillati; Bacillota; Bacilli; Caryophanales; Paenibacillaceae.